RNAcentral lists this transfer RNA (66 nucleotides) under Cryptotympana atrata. Its description in RNAcentral is "tRNA-Leu". The record is from RNAcentral. Lineage: Eukaryota; Metazoa; Arthropoda; Insecta; Hemiptera; Cicadidae.
UUUACUUUGACAGAAUAAUGUAUUAAAUUUAGAAUUUAAAAAAGUAAUUUUAUAUUACAAGUAAUA